Molecule: long non-coding RNA, 900 nt
Organism: Sarcophilus harrisii (Tasmanian devil)
Lineage: Eukaryota; Metazoa; Chordata; Mammalia; Dasyuromorphia; Dasyuridae
Exons: 3
Source: RefSeq, a predicted model, not a curated record
AGGAAUUGGCAGCAAUCUGCAGAGAAACAGAAGUGUAACUAUUCAGAUUCAGAUAUCAUUCUUGUACUCAGACACAGACACAGUAAAGACACAGAAGAUGGAGAUAGAAACAGAGAUUUCCCCUGGAGUAAAAGUGAAGGAAACUAUUAAUAUGAAUUAGUGAGUAUGAUGGAUUCUGUGCUAGAGAAACAUCAAAAUCAUGAUCUUGUUUCAGUGAUUUACAAAAGUAAGUCUGCAGAUAAAUAAAAGUGUUUCUUCUUAUACUCUAAUUGGAAAUUAAUUGAAAAUGUUUACAUACCCAAAAUUUUUCUUUUUUUCCUUGUGCUCCUCUGAGUAUUCCCCAUCUAGAUAAAGGAUGUUUCAAAAUAAAAAAAAAAAGAAAAGGAAGAACUGUCAGACUUCUUACAACUUAAUGAGCAGUAUGUAUCCUAAAAUAACAAGUUUUUGAAUUUUUCAAUUCUUUUUAAAGUCCUGUAUAACCAUAUGACCCUCUCCGUUCUCUUCCAAAGAUCUCCUCGUACUGAAUCUCAAAAAAUUAUUAUCUUUAUCAGAAUGAAUUAUUUCCAAAUUAAGGUCAAUUCACCAAAUAUUCAUUUACUAGCUAGAUGGCUCAUUACCUGGAGUCAGAAAGACUUGAGUUCAAAUAUGGAAUCAGACUUUCGUUAGUUGUCUGGACAAAUAAUUUAAGCAAUAUGACAUUUGGUAAAUCAAUAACAGCAUUGGAUUUGUUUUCUUUUUCAUAAAAUGAUUGUGCUCAAAUCAGCAACCUCCAAUAUCAUGUCCAUCUUUUAAUCUGUGAUCGUAAGAAGUCAUAUUUUCCCAUAUAAUUGGCAUGGCACAAUUCUUUAAUAAUAAACUUUAUAUUCAUAGAUGUUCUUGCAAAAAGGAAGAAUAUACAUA